UGAGGAAUAUUGGUCAAUGGACGAAAGUCUGAACCAGCCAUGCCGCGUGAAGGAAUAAGGCCCUAUGGGUCGUAAACUUCUUUUGUAUGUGAGCAAUAAGGUCCACGCGUGGUCCGAUGAGAGCAGCAUACGAAUAAGCAUCGGCUAACUCCGUGCCAGCAGCCGCGGUAAUACGGAGGAUGCAAGCGUUAUCCGGAAUCAUUGGGCGUAAAGGGCAUGUAGGCGGUCUGUCAAGCCAGGCGUGAAAGCCAGGGGCUCAACCCCUGAACUGCGCUUGGAACUGGCGGACUGGAGUCGCUGAGGGGGAACCGGAAUUCCCUGGUGUAGGGGUGAAAUCUGUAGAUAUCAGGAAGAACACCGAUGGCGAAGGCAGGUUUCCAGCAGACGACUGACGCUGAGGUGCGAAGGUGCGGAGAGCAAACAGGAUUAGAUACCCUGGUAGU
This 443-nucleotide ribosomal RNA is filed under the name uncultured bacterium. RNAcentral describes it as "bacterial SSU rRNA". It matches the Rfam family "Bacterial small subunit ribosomal RNA", at positions 355 to 794 of the family's 1533-position model. The record is from RNAcentral.